CAAAUAACUUUAGUGGCCCCAUUCCAUCAAUAUUUAUCAAAGGGUGUAGUCUUUGGUCCAUCAAUUUGAGUGGUAAUAAAUUGCAAGGAAGAUUACCUAAAUCCUUAAUCAAUUGCAAAAGUCUGAAGGGUCUCGACGUUGGAAAUAAUAAAAUACAAGAUGAAUUUCCGUUUUGGAUGGAAGGUCUUCCUAACCUUCAAGUACUCAUAUUGAAGUCCAACAAGUUUGAUGGUAACAUGUCGCUGCCUUCACGAAGCAACCUUCCAUUUCAAAAGUUGCAAGUUUUAGAUAUAUCCGACAAUGAAUUUGUGGGGUCUCUCCCUCAAACAUAUUUCAAGAACUUUAGAGCAAUGAUGGAUGUGAAGGAAAAUAAGACAGAUCUAAUUACAAGUAGUGAUGAUGACUCUUUUCUAAGGUAUGUGGAGAUGAGAAUCACCUUGAAAGGUUUGGAUCUGUUAUUGAAGAGACUGUUGAAAACCUUUACAAUAGUUGAUUUAUCCUCCAAUAAUUUCUCUGGUAGUAUUCCAGAUUCCAUAGGUAAUCUGAAUUCUCUGAGAUACUUGAAUUUUGUCACACCCCAAUUCUUGAAACAAUAACUAUAACUGGGGUACGACUAAUCAUCUAAAUGAACAAGGGAAAAUCCUUGUGAAAUCCGAAUAAAAGGGAUAACAAUCGGGCUUAGCCCCUUUGGAUGAGGAAAGACAGGUAUUCAAGUGAUACGAAUCAAUCAACAAACAUAAUAACUUCAGGAUCACAAGUUUAGUGUCAUGCUUCAGAUAACCAACAUUCACUGAUCGAAAUACUUGCGAGUCAAUAGUCUAGGCUCAACAAAAGAUAUUGUUAAGAAUUUCAACAUAGUAGGUCUUAAGUUAAGGAACAAAAGACAGAUACUGGCUAGUUCUGCAGCGGAAAUCAAAAUAAGGAGUUGAACUCUAGCCUCAGCUUUGCCCCGUCAUCACCAGCCAUUAACCUGAAAACAUUUGAAAAUAUUUUUGGGCUAAGUACUAGUGUACUUAGUGGGCUGCAACUUUUAAAGCAUUUCAUAAUCUGAAGAACAGUUUAUCUAAUCUUACUGACAUGACAUAGAAGGUUUUUAAAGAGAAAUAACUUCUAUGCAUGUUAAAACAUUUCAUAAAUAUAUAUAUAUACUUAAUUAUUUUGCGCGCGUUUGCACACUCCAUUCUGUUACUCGCUGUGAUCCCGGACCAUUUAGCCACCGACGGAUCUCUGUCUCCCGCUGACUUGAACUGAGGGCGUAACCCAGCCAAGUAUAAUAAACCUCAGAAAUUAAUCCAGACAGGCCUAUCAUUACUAUGCUCCGGAACACAUCCCGUCGAGCACCCUUAUAACACAUCCCGACAGCGGCAGGGCCGCCGCGCUCUGGCCUCCCUCUGUCUGACUCCCGCCGGCGACAACGCCACCCACGUGACACCGCCCCCUUCCCCCAUCCGGCAGACACAUCAGCCGACAAGCUAACCGCCGCCGCUGACCUCCCUCGCAAUCUCUCUCUCUCUCUCUCGGUCAGUGGCAGACCACCACCACCGCCGGACGGACAGCAGCGAUGAGCCGCCGCCGCCUCCCUUUUCUCCUUCACCCUCCUCAGUCAGCCUCCAUCCCCCGACUCGAUAGACAAAAACCAAGUUCAAGACUCCAUUUUCGACAUGUUUCAAAACAUUUCUACUCUUCUUUUCUUCUUUACAGACAUGCUUGAAUGUAAAUAUAUAUGACAGUGUAUGAAUAUGCACCGAAAUGAUGAGAUGAGAGUACGUGUGUGAUUCUUGCUUGCAGUGAAGAUCUUUAUACAAAAUGAAGUGGGUUUCUUAAUCAAACUGUGAAAUGAAAAUAAGCAAGAAUUAAAAGAUGAAACCUUUGAAUGUUUAGUGGGGAAAGUCCUCAAGCUGAAAGCUUCGUGUGAUCUUCAAGAGUUUUUGAUUUGAGUUUGCUCUCUCUGUUUCAGUUUUCCUUCACGAAAUGAGUUGUGUGGAGUGGUGAAGGAAAGGUCUUGAUUGAAUUGGGAGAAGUAGUUGAAUUGGCAGAGAAGUUUGGGGCAUUUGAUUGCCUCUGCCAAGCAUGGCAUAAAGCCUGAAUUUGGGCUGCUUGAAUAGGUGUAGGGCGGCUGAUGGGAGGGAUGAGUGUAAGUGUUGAUUGGACUAAUAAAAUCCCUCAGGAUAAAAUAUCGAGACUGUAAUAAUACUUCAGGGUUUGCUAAUUAAAAGCUCAUGAAAAUGCUUGAAUGCUAAAUUAAAUAAAUAUGCAAUGCAUAUAAACUUAAUAACUAAAUUUACAAAAGCUUUUGUAAAUCAUUUUUGUUGGAAUUAAAAUAAAUUCUUUUUCUCAAAUCCGGCGUGAAUCAUCUUAAAACUAAGUUCAAAAUUACUCUAAACUUAGCUCGAGGAAACGGGGUAUUACAAAUUUGUCGCACAAUAAUCUCAUGGGACACAUACCUGCAUCUCUUGGAAAUAUAAGCGUGAUUGAAUCAUUGGACUUGUCAUCGAACAAAUUGGAGGGAGGAAUUCCAAGUGAACUGACAAGCUUGACAUUUCUUGCGAAAUUAAACCUUUCAAUGAAUGAUCUCGUGGGAAACUUGAGAAUGUGUGGAUUUCCGUUGACGAGAAAAUGCAACGAGAAGAAUGAGCAGCAGAUGCAGCCAGAAGAAGAAGAUGAGUAUGGAUUUAUAGAUGGAUUUGGAUGGAGAAGUGUGGUGAUGGGAUAUGGAAGUGGAAUCAUAGUUGGAAUUGGAAUUGGUUGUUAUAUAUUUAUUUAUAAGAUUUAUCAAUAGUUAUAGAUAUAUAACAUAUAGAUUUAGUGUAAUAUCUAAUGAAUAAUAUAUUCUUAUAAAUAUAUAAUUAAUAUACCUUAAAAUAAAAUAUGUAAUAGGGGUAAAAUAGGCAAUCCAUAUGUUGUGCAUAAGGCUCUUUUUGUAGGUCCUCAAUUCAUAAAUUCAAAAUUAAAUAGAAUUCUAAUGCAAUUAAAAAUCUACUCUUAUCAUAUUUAUAAUUUGAUGUAAAUACGUUUUAGUUUGAAUUAUUAAAAUAUCUAUGUUUUAGUUUGGAUCAUUAUAAAGUAUUAUAUCUGAUACAUGUAAAAUUAAAUAGAAUUCUAAUGCGAUAAGAAAUCUACUCUUAUCAAGUUUGAAUUAUUAAAAUGCCUAUGUUUUAGUUUGGAUUAUUAUAAAGUAUUAGAUUUAUUUUAUAAAAUAUAUAAUAGCGGUAAAAUAGGCAAUCCACAAGUGGUCUCAUAGAAUGCUUAGACUCUUUUUCUAUUAGUAUAGAUUUAUAUAAAGGGUUCUCCAAUUUUCAGGUCCAAUACCAUUCACCAUUGGAAAUCUAUCAAAUUUGUGGGAUCUAGACCUCUCUUCCAACAAAUUAAAUGGUGAGCUUCCAUUCUCCAUAUGCAACAUGACAUCCCUUCAAAUUCUUAUUUUCUCAAAUAACAGUUUGGAAAUCUUUGGACAUAUUUCAUCUAAAAUACUUCAGGUGCAUAAAAUGUAUUUCUUCAUUGCCAUGUUUCUUUAUGUAUCCAGAUUGUCUCUAAAGCAAUAUAUAUCUACAUUGACUUCUCAAACUUACAGGUCCAAUACCAUCCACCAUUGGGAAUCUAUCAAAUUUGGAGUAUUUAUUGCUCUCUUCCAACAAAUUAAAUGGUGAGCUUCCAUUCUGCAUCUGCAACUUGUCAUCCCUUCAGUUUCUUCUACUCUCAAAUAACAGUUUGGAAGGGACAGUUCCACAAUGCUUUCGAAACUUGAGCAAAUCGUUGUCCAUAUUUCAUUUAAAUGCAAAUAAUUUUAGUGGCCCCAUUCCAUCAAUAUUUAUCAAAGGGUGUAGUCUUCGGUCCAUCAAUUUGAGUGGUAAUAAAUUGCAAGGAAGAUUACCUAAAUCCUUAAGCAAUUGCAAAAGUCUGAGGGGCCUCGAUGUUGGAAAUAAUAGAAUACGAGACAAAUUUCCGUUUUGGAUGGAAGCUCUUCCUGAGCUUCAAGUGCUCGUCUUGAAGUCUAACAAGUUUGAUGGUAAC
Molecule: long non-coding RNA, 4011 nt
Filed under: Salvia miltiorrhiza (redroot sage)
Lineage: Eukaryota; Viridiplantae; Streptophyta; Magnoliopsida; Lamiales; Lamiaceae
Description: long non-coding RNA (SMIL_LNC010439)
Source: RNAcentral